This 772-nucleotide long non-coding RNA is filed under the name Fukomys damarensis (Damara mole-rat). RNAcentral's name for it is "lncRNA (ENSFDAG00000030936.1)". The record is from RNAcentral. Lineage: Eukaryota; Metazoa; Chordata; Mammalia; Rodentia; Bathyergidae.
UGUAAAUGCCCUUCAAGGGUUUCUAGGUCAUGCAUUCUAGUAGCGACAUCACCAGGUAUGAGAUUUGCUGUAUUUAAUUGAGGUUCUUUGAGCCUGCAGCACACACCAACCAUACUUCUAAUGGGAGUUGCAAUCCGUGAAAAGAGAAUCCUCCCAGCAGACGCCAUCCUCUUUACAGAGUGCUCAGCGCGGGUUCCUGCAGAGCUCCACUGGUGGCCACACCCGACAGGGCCUUCCACUGGCAUUUUAGACACGACGUUGCUUUUAUCAAUGAGCUCUGAAAGAAAAGAAAUGAUUGGAACUUCAAAUCCACUUGGAAUUGGCAAGCCUCAGCGUUCAGAAGAGAUACAUAGAGAACAGAAAAGACCGUCGUUCUCAGGAGCAGGUCCGCAGCACUGCUCCGAGACACCAGCAGCUAUCAGAACCCUGGUUUUUGGAUGGGAAUUGAAGAGCAGAGGGAGGAAGGGAAGUCUUUCAAGAAGGAAAGGAUUUCCAUUGUUUCCAGGAAACUGCUAAAAUAUGUGCAUGCUGUUCAUUGCUAAAGUCAACAGAUGGGAUCCCCAAAUGUGAGAGAACAUGAUUCAACAGUGACUCCACAGGAAAAAUGGAUGGCUUACUGCAGAUGGGAAGGAAAAGUAUUGCUGUACCCAGUAGAAGGAGUGAAGGCAGAGAUUUUUGCUAUUUUUAUUUAUUUUAUUUUAUUUUUGGCAAAUUAUGGGAACUGAUUCACAUGUACAAUUUGGCAAUGUUUUGUUCUUAACAUCAAAUAGAA